UACGAAGGGUGCAAGCGUUACUCGGAAUUACUGGGCGUAAAGCGUGCGCAGGCGGUUAGCCGUGUCCGAUGUGAAAGCCCCGGGCUCAACCUGGGAAUGGCAUUGGAAACUGGCUGGCUGGAGUGUGGCAGAGGGGGGUGGAAUUCCACGUGUAGCAGUGAAAUGCGUAGAGAUGUGGAGGAACACCGAUGGCGAAGGCAGCCCCCUGGGCCAACACUGACGCUCAGGCACGAAAGCGUGGGGAGCAAACAGG
This 253-nucleotide ribosomal RNA is filed under the name uncultured bacterium. RNAcentral's name for it is "partial 16S ribosomal RNA". It matches the Rfam family "Bacterial small subunit ribosomal RNA", at positions 524 to 776 of the family's 1533-position model. The record is from RNAcentral.